GGGUGCGAUCAUACCAGCAGUAAUGCACCGGAUCCCUUCAGAACUCCGCAGUUAACCUGUGCUUGGGCGAGAGUAGUACUAGGAUGGGUGACCUCCUGGGAAGUCCUCGUGUUGCACCCC
Molecule: ribosomal RNA, 120 nt
Filed under: Gossypium raimondii (Peruvian cotton)
Lineage: Eukaryota; Viridiplantae; Streptophyta; Magnoliopsida; Malvales; Malvaceae
Source: RNAcentral